GGAGGCGCCAUCAUUUAGCAGUUUGCUUAUGGUCACACAGCUGCGACUGGACCCCUUGUCUGACUGCUCCUGAGCCUGCAUUCUAGAUCUUGGAAGGAGCCGAAUGUGUCUCGGGGACACGGAGAAGUCAUCUGCUCCUGCAAAGCCUCGUGUGAGAAGACGAAAGCUAGGAAGAGGCGGUGGAAAGGCACGUGCUGGCCAGGACACCAGCAGCAGCUAGGAGGGCGCUCCCUCUAAGAAAUUGUCAUCGCAUGGCCUCAAGUCCAGACCUCCCUGGGCCUCAAGUCACAGCCAAUCCCGGAAGGUGCGCCCUGCAGAGUGGGGGCAAGGUGUAGGCCUCGCUGAACUCGGGGAGGGGAGGGAGCGCGCCAGCGGGCACUGAGGUCCUUCUCCCCUCGGCGGAGCUCUCAUCCUGGUCAGGUCGGCUUGGACGCUGCUGCGGGCUCCCGCGUUCUGCGCUAGGUGGCGAAAUGCUGUGGGGCUCCCCUAUUCGGGGGAAUGCGGUAGUGAUGUAUAAGGUAUGAAAGAUGUGGCCUGCAGAGAGCCGGCACUAUCUCUACUGCUGCUGCUGCUACUGCUGCUGCCGCCGCUGCCGCCGCUGCCGCUCCUGCUGCCGGCAGAGCUGCUGGGAGUGAGCUGAGCAUCCCGCGUGCGGGGCUCCCAGCUCCGCGGCAGCUCCCGAGCCCCGGCCACCCCCGCAGCCGCCCUCCACGGCCCCGCCAGCCCCAGGGAACAAAAGCGGAACUCUGUCGCCCGCUCCUGCAGCCAGAGGAUGAGUCGAGAGGGCUGAGCGCAGAGUGUGGUCCUCAGCGGCUGGGCUGGAAGCUGCUGUCACAUAUGGUGGUGACCCAUAGGGUCUGUCGUGUUGCUGCUACUGAUGAUGACGAUAAUGAUGAUGAUCUCUUUUGACUCAUUUUUCAGGUGAGAUUAACACUAUUGAAUACUUCCUCUGAGACAGACAUUGUGUUAGGCACUCAGCAGGCCUAUUCACAUUUUCUUCAAACAAUUAGUGUGUCAAAAAAUAGGGGUGUCUGGGUGCCUCAGUUAAACAUCCAACUCUUGAUUUCGGCUCAGGUCAUAAUCUCAGGGUUGUGAGACUGAGCCCAGUGUCAGGCUCUGCAUUGGGCCUGAAGCCUGUUUAAGAUUCUUUUUCUUCCUCUGUCCCUUCCACUCCCCUUCCCCCCACUGGCAUGCGUGCUCUUCUCUCUCUCUCUCU
RNAcentral lists this long non-coding RNA (1216 nucleotides) under Canis lupus familiaris (dog). RNAcentral's name for it is "lncRNA (ENSCAFG00845006993.1)". Lineage: Eukaryota; Metazoa; Chordata; Mammalia; Carnivora; Canidae. The record is from RNAcentral.